Molecule: ribosomal RNA, 495 nt
Filed under: uncultured bacterium
Lineage: Bacteria
Description: partial 16S ribosomal RNA
Rfam family: Bacterial small subunit ribosomal RNA
Source: RNAcentral
GACGAACGCUGGCGGCGUGCCUAAUACAUGCAAGUAGAACGCUGAAGGAGGAGCUUGCUCUUCUGGAUGAGUUGCGAACGGGUGAGUAACGCGUAGGUAACCUGCCUGGUAGCGGGGGAUAACUAUUGGAAACGAUAGCUAAUACCGCAUAAGAGUAGAUGUUGCAUGACAUUUGCUUAAAAGGUGCAAUUGCAUCACUACCAGAUGGACCUGCGUUGUAUUAGCUAGUUGGUGGGGUAACGGCUCACCAAGGCGACGAUACAUAGCCGACCUGGGAGGGUGAUCGGCCACACUGGGACUGAGACACGGCCCAGACUCCUACGGGAGGCAGCAGUAGGGAAUCUUCGGCAAGGGACGGAAGUCUGACCGAGCAACGCCGCGUGAGUGAAGAAGGUUUUCGGAUCGUAAAGCUCUGUUGUAAGAGAAGAACGAGUGUGAGAGUGGAAAGUUCACACUGUGACGGUAUCUUACCAGAAAGGGACGGCUAACUACGUG